GGGUUGUGAGGUUAAGCGACUAAGCGUACACGGUGGAUGCCCUGGCAGUCAGAGGCGAUGAAGGGCGUGCUAAUCUGCGAUAAGCGCCGGUAAGGUGAUAUGAACCGUUAUAACCGGCGAUACCCGAAUGGGGAAACCCAGUGUGACUCGUCACACUAUCAUUAACUGAAUCCAUAGGUUAAUGAGGCGAACCGGGGGAACUGAAACAUCUAAGUACCCCGAGGAAAAGAAAUCAACCGAGAUUCCCCCAGUAGCGGCGAGCGAACGGGGAGGAGCCCAGAGCCUGAAUCAGCAUGUGUGUUAGUGGAAGCGUCUGGAAAGGCGCGCGAUACAGGGUGACAGCCCCGUACACAAAAGCGCAUGUGUUGUGAGCUCGAUGAGUAGGGCGGGACACGUGGUAUCCUGUCUGAAUAUGGGGGGACCAUCCUCCAAGGCUAAAUACUCCUGACUGACCGAUAGUGAACCAGUACCGUGAGGGAAAGGCGAAAAGAACCCCGGCGAGGGGAGUGAAAAAGAACCUGAAACCGUGUACGUACAAGCAGUGGGAGCACCCUUUUGGGUGUGACUGCGUACCUUUUGUAUAAUGGGUCAGCGACUUAUAUUCUGUAGCAAGGUUAACCGAAUAGGGGAGCCGGAGGGAAACCGAGUCUUAAUUGGGCGUUAAGUUGCAGGGUAUAGACCCGAAACCCGGUGAUCUAGCCAUGGGCAGGUUGAAGGUUGGGUAACACUAACUGGAGGACCGAACCGACUAAUGUUGAAAAAUUAGCGGAUGACCUGUGGCUGGGGGUGAAAGGCCAAUCAAACCGGGAGAUAGCUGGUUCUCCCCGAAAGCUAUUUAGGUAGCGCCUCGUGAAUUCAUCUCCGGGGGUAGAGCACUGUUUCGGCUAGGGGGCCAUCCCGGCUUACCAACCCGAUGCAAACUGCGAAUACCGGAGAAUGUUAUCACGGGAGACACACGGCGGGUGCUAACGUCCGUCGUGAAGAGGGAAACAACCCAGACCGCCAGCUAAGGUCCCAAAGUCAUGGUUAAGUGGGAAACGAUGUGGGAAGGCCCAGACAGCCAGGAUGUUGGCUUAGAAGCAGCCAUCAUUUAAAGAAAGCGUAAUAGCUCACUGGUCGAGUCGGCCUGCGCGGAAGAUGUAACGGGGCUAAACCAUGCACCGAAGCUGCGGCAGCGACGCUCAGGCGUUGUUGGGUAGGGGAGCGUUCUGUAAGCCUGUGAAGGUGGCCUGUGAGGGUUGCUGGAGGUAUCAGAAGUGCGAAUGCUGACAUAAGUAACGAUAAAGCGGGUGAAAAGCCCGCUCGCCGGAAGACCAAGGGUUCCUGUCCAACGUUAAUCGGGGCAGGGUGAGUCGACCCCUAAGGCGAGGCCGAAAGGCGUAGUCGAUGGGAAACGGGUUAAUAUUCCCGUACUUGGUGUUACUGCGAAGGGGGGACGGAGAAGGCUAUGUUGGCCGGGCGACGGUUGUCCCGGUUUAAGCGUGUAGGUGUGUGUUCCAGGUAAAUCCGGUUCACUUUAACACUGAGGCGUGACGACGAGGCACUACGGUGCUGAAGCAACAAAUGCCCUGCUUCCAGGAAAAGCCUCUAAGCAUCAGGUAACAUCAAAUCGUACCCCAAACCGACACAGGUGGUCAGGUAGAGAAUACCAAGGCGCUUGAGAGAACUCGGGUGAAGGAACUAGGCAAAAUGGUGCCGUAACUUCGGGAGAAGGCACGCUGACACGUAGGUGAAGUGAUUUACUCAUGGAGCUGAAGUCAGUCGAAGAUACCAGCUGGCUGCAACUGUUUAUUAAAAACACAGCACUGUGCAAACACGAAAGUGGACGUAUACGGUGUGACGCCUGCCCGGUGCCGGAAGGUUAAUUGAUGGGGUCAGCGCAAGCGAAGCUCCUGAUCGAAGCCCCGGUAAACGGCGGCCGUAACUAUAACGGUCCUAAGGUAGCGAAAUUCCUUGUCGGGUAAGUUCCGACCUGCACGAAUGGCGUAAUGAUGGCCAGGCUGUCUCCACCCGAGACUCAGUGAAAUUGAACUCGCUGUGAAGAUGCAGUGUACCCGCGGCAAGACGGAAAGACCCCGUGAACCUUUACUAUAGCUUGACACUGAACAUUGAGCCUUGAUGUGUAGGAUAGGUGGGAGGCUUUGAAGCGUGGACGCCAGUCUGCGUGGAGCCGACCUUGAAAUACCACCCUUUAAUGUUUGAUGUUCUAACGUGGACCCGUUACCCGGGUUGCGGACAGUGUCUGGUGGGUAGUUUGACUGGGGCGGUCUCCUCCUAAAGAGUAACGGAGGAGCACGAAGGUUGGCUAAUCCUGGUCGGACAUCAGGAGGUUAGUGCAAUGGCAUAAGCCAGCUUGACUGCGAGCGUGACGGCGCGAGCAGGUGCGAAAGCAGGUCAUAGUGAUCCGGUGGUUCUGAAUGGAAGGGCCAUCGCUCAACGGAUAAAAGGUACUCCGGGGAUAACAGGCUGAUACCGCCCAAGAGUUCAUAUCGACGGCGGUGUUUGGCACCUCGAUGUCGGCUCAUCACAUCCUGGGGCUGAAGUAGGUCCCAAGGGUAUGGCUGUUCGCCAUUUAAAGUGGUACGCGAGCUGGGUUUAGAACGUCGUGAGACAGUUCGGUCCCUAUCUGCCGUGGGCGCUGGAGAACUGAGGGGGGCUGCUCCUAGUACGAGAGGACCGGAGUGGACGCAUCACUGGUGUUCGGGUUGUCAUGCCAAUGGCACUGCCCGGUAGCUAAAUGCGGAAGAGAUAAGUGCUGAAAGCAUCUAAGCACGAAACUUGCCCCGAGAUGAGUUCUCCCUGAGACUUAGAGUCUCCUGAAGGAACGUUGAAGACGACGACGUUGAUAGGCCGGGUGUGUAAGCGCAGCGAUGCGUUGAGCUAACCGGUACUAAUGAACCGUGAGGCUUAACCUUACAACGCCGAAGCUGUU
This 2932-nucleotide ribosomal RNA is filed under the name Salmonella enterica. RNAcentral's name for it is "bacterial LSU rRNA". It matches the Rfam family "Bacterial large subunit ribosomal RNA". The record is from RNAcentral. Lineage: Bacteria; Pseudomonadati; Pseudomonadota; Gammaproteobacteria; Enterobacterales; Enterobacteriaceae.